AUAUUAUUUUAAUUAUAUGCAGUUGAUUUCUACCCAAAAUGUUAGUCUUGUGUCUGUGGAUCGUGGUUAUCAUCGCUGAACAAGUACCCACAGCUGUGUCAAAUCAGCAUCAUUGUCCAGGUUAUACUGUGGUUCAAAAUUUCGGCCCAGAUGCAGAACCAACUUUGACACAAAAUCACACAAGGGGAGCACCUGGUAAAGUUGGGAAAAAGGGGCCGAAAGGAGAUAUUGGGGAGAAGGGGGCGAAGGGGGAUGCCGGCAUUACUCCACACUACAAUGAAAUCAACCUAUUGAAGCAGCAAGUUGCUCAACUUAUAAAGCGAAUAGAUAUGAUGGAUACCCCCGAAAUCCUGUGAACACCUGAAUGGAACACAAGAUGAUUCAGGGAUCAAUCAAAUUCAACCAGGGUCACGACCAUUUGCAGCAUAUUGCAGCUUUAACGGAUCAAACCGUUACACACGCAUCGGGCAUGACGCGGAAAGUGAAAUUCAAGUGACUGCAUGUGAAAACCCACUCUGCUACAGACGCGACAUUGCUUAUGAAGUUCCCAUGCCACAGAUUAUUUCUUUGAUUACCGUCUCACGACACUGUAGACAAUUUGUUAAGUAUCGGUGCUUAGGUUCGGUUUUGAACUCAUCCGGAACUCGUUAUGCCGGAUGGAAGUCACGCGAUGGAGUAAAUCGACACAACUGGGGAGGCAGCUCAAGAACUGGGUGGUGUGCCUGCGGUGAAACUGGAGAAGUGACGUCAAAAAUUCUCCAGACUCUCUUGAAUCGCCAGCCAUCGGCUCUAGUCACAGAAAUAAAAAAGAA
This is a non-coding RNA of Ciona intestinalis (vase tunicate), 812 nucleotides long. The record is from RefSeq and is a predicted model, not a curated record. Lineage: Eukaryota; Metazoa; Chordata; Ascidiacea; Phlebobranchia; Cionidae.